ACAUAACUUAUUUCUAAAUUCAUGCUAUUUAUUUAACAUUAUUAUUAAAUCUUAAAAAAUAAAUAUUUCACUAAUCUUAUUUUAUUUUAAGUUAUAAAACUAUAAUCCAUAUUUCUUUAAAUAUUACUGCACCUUGAUCUAAUUAAUAUCAUAAAAUUAUUUUAAAAAUUAUUAAUAAUAUUUAAAUAAUGACGGUAUACAAAUUAUAAAUUUAAAUUAAAUAAAUUCGUGGGUUAUCGAUAAAAAUACAGAUUCCUCUAAUAAGAUAUAAAUUACCGUCAGGUUUUUUAAAUUUUG
RNAcentral lists this ribosomal RNA (297 nucleotides) under Parabathynellidae sp. (Pilbara) 21 EM-2019. Its description in RNAcentral is "partial small subunit ribosomal RNA". The record is from RNAcentral. Lineage: Eukaryota; Metazoa; Arthropoda; Malacostraca; Bathynellacea; Parabathynellidae.